GUCCUGCUUAACCCAACCAACCAAGGGUUGGUAAAGGUCCUGUGAACCCAAUCCGUUCUUAAGUAAAAGAGCUUUCUGCCCUUGAAAACAGCAAAGGAACCGGAGGCUCAGAGAGGCCCAGUAACCCACCCAAAGUCACAGAGCUACCAAAGCAGGAGUGGGACCUGGUUUUCUGCUUCCCAAACCAGGGGCCUCCCAGUACCCAACACUUCGGCCUCUGAGUUAGAGGAAACGUGGAAGACGCUUUUAUGGUGUGCAGAAUGUGCAAGGCAGUGAGCCAUCAGCUGAACAGCCACCGACAGAGCUUCAUGGCCACAGCCCACUGGCCAGACCCUCAGCGGCCUCUCAUCGGCUGAGCUGAAUGAAGUCCAAACGGCUCAGCAGGUUUUCUAUUGCCUGGCAGCGCGGAGACACGUACUUUCCAACACGGUAGCCGGGGCUCACACGGGCCUCCCGAGGCCUGGAAACGCAGCUGGGGUGAAGCGGGACGUGAUGCACCCGUGAAAUACCCACGGGAUCUCAAAGACUGAGUCCAAAGUAGAAGAAUUAGAAAUACUCCAGUAUUAGAUAUUGUAUUAAAUACUCCAGUACUAAAAAAAAUUUUAAAAAUAAAAAUAAAUAAAUAAAUACUCCAGUACUUAGUAGUAGUAGAAAUCUCGUUAGGAAUUUCUUAACAUUGAUUACCUGUUUGAGAAUGUUUGGGAUAUAUUGGGUCAAAUAAAAUAUAUUCUCAAGUGUA
This is a long non-coding RNA of Canis lupus familiaris (dog), 739 nucleotides long. RefSeq lists it as uncharacterized. The record is from RefSeq and is a predicted model, not a curated record. The transcript is spliced from 3 exons. Lineage: Eukaryota; Metazoa; Chordata; Mammalia; Carnivora; Canidae.